UGGGUAUGGAAUAGACAAUGAAGCCGAGCCUGAUGCAGCAACGCCGCGUGAGGGAUGACGGCCUUCGGGUUGUAAACCUCUUUUAGCAGGGAAGAAGCGAAAGUGACGGUACCUGCAGAAAAAGCGCCGGCUAACUACGUGCCAGCAGCCGCGGUAAUACGUAGGGCGCAAGCGUUAUCCGGAAUUAUUGGGCGUAAAGAGCUCGUAGGCGGUUUGUCGCGUCUGCUGUGAAAUCCCGAGGCUCAACCUCGGGCCUGCAGUGGGUACGGGCAGACUAGAGUGCGGUAGGGGAGAUUGGAAUUCCUGGUGUAGCGGUGGAAUGCGCAGAUAUCAGGAGGAACACCGAUGGCGAAGGCAGAUCUCUGGGCCGUAACUGACGCUGAGGAGCGAAAGGGUGGGGAGCAAACAGGCUUAGAUACCCUGGUAGUCCACCCCGUAAACGUUGGGAACUAGUUGUGGGGACCAUUCCACGGUUUCCGUGACGCAGCUAACGCAUUAAGUUCCCCGCCUGGGGAGUACGGCCGCAAGGCUAAAACUCAAAGGAAUUGACGGGGACCCGCACAAGCGGCGGAGCAUGCGGAUUAAUUCGAUGCAACGCGAAGAACCUUACCAAGGCUUGACAUACACCAGAACGGGCCAGAAAUGGUCAACUCUUUGGACACUGGUGAACAGGUGGGUGCAUGGUUGUCGUCAGCUCGUGUCGUGAGAUGUUGGGUUAAGUCCCGCAACGAGCGCAACCCUCGUUCUAUGUUGCCAGCACGUAAUGGUGGGAACUCAUGGGGAUACUGCCGGGGGUCAACUCGGAGGAGGUGGGGGAUGACGUCAAAUCAUCAUGCCCCUUAUGUCUUGGGCUACACGCAUGCUACAAUGGGCCGGGUACAAA
This 883-nucleotide ribosomal RNA is filed under the name Microbacterium sp. RNAcentral describes it as "bacterial SSU rRNA". It matches the Rfam family "Bacterial small subunit ribosomal RNA", at positions 351 to 1243 of the family's 1533-position model. Lineage: Bacteria; Bacillati; Actinomycetota; Actinomycetes; Micrococcales; Microbacteriaceae. The record is from RNAcentral.